Molecule: ribosomal RNA, 253 nt
Filed under: uncultured bacterium
Lineage: Bacteria
Description: partial 16S ribosomal RNA
Rfam family: Bacterial small subunit ribosomal RNA
Source: RNAcentral
UACGUAGGGUCCGAGCGUUGUCCGGAAUUACUGGGCGUAAAGAGCUCGUAGGUGGUUUGUCGCGUUGUUCGUGAAAACUCACAGCUUAACUGUGGGCGUGCGGGCGAUACGGGCAGACUAGAGUACUGCAGGGGAGACUGGAAUUCCUGGUGUAGCGGUGAAAUGCGCAGAUAUCAGGAAGAACACCCGUGGCGAAGGCGGCUCUCUGGGACGGUACUGACGCUGAGACGCGAAAGCGUGGGGAGCGAACAGG